GAUUAAGAACUUUUCUGAUCAUUUUUAGGAACCUAUGUUGGAUAAGCCCCAUUUGAAUAAGAUAUCUUUUUGGUUUCUCUCUUUGUCGACUGUGAUAUUUUUUUCGUCUCUUUUUCUUUAGAGAUUAAUACCAUGGUAUCUCUAUGUGACAGGAAUAAAAUCCUUGGCCCUGAUGAUUUUAAUCUUUCCUUCCUUAUGAGGUUUCAGUAUCUCUAGAGGGAGGAUAUGGGGACUUUAUUUGAUCAAUU
RNAcentral lists this long non-coding RNA (248 nucleotides) under Lathyrus oleraceus (garden pea). RNAcentral describes it as "Pisum sativum (pea) long non-coding RNA (PSAT_LNC023538)". The record is from RNAcentral. Lineage: Eukaryota; Viridiplantae; Streptophyta; Magnoliopsida; Fabales; Fabaceae.